This 32-nucleotide non-coding RNA is filed under the name Homo sapiens (human). Lineage: Eukaryota; Metazoa; Chordata; Mammalia; Primates; Hominidae. The record is from RNAcentral.
UGCUCCUUCUCAGAUUUAGGAGGUACCUUGUU